UUUCCCCUUUCUCUCAUUUGCUUGCCCGUUGGCAGUGUCGGAACCUCUAUUGCAACGGCCGGCGUCGACCCUCAUCUUCUCCCUUAGGUCCUGGAUCCAGUGGUGUCCUCGAUCUGGUGCGGCCUCCAUCAACAUUGCCGUGUAGUUCCAACAGGCGGCGGUGGGAUUUGAUUUUGGGGCUGAUUGGACUUGAAGCGGAGGCAGACAUCGAGCUUGUAGCGGAGGAGCGAGCGAGGGGGCCCUUGACGGAUCUGCAAGACUAGGAUCGGCCGCCACGAAGACGUGUACGUCGUCACCGUCCAGGCUGCAAACGACUCCAGCUCCUCUAGGACCACGGUCUGGACAGGAGUCAAUUUUUUGGUUAUUUCUCCCUGUUUUUGCUGAGGAUAUUUGUGGCAAUUAUUUUUGGUACAGAAGAAUAGAACGCCGAUGUGUUUUUAUAUAUAUUUAGCUAUUUUGCAUCGUACAUAAUUUUCUCAAAUUUUUUAAGACAUCAUAACAAAGUUUUUAUUUUUUAUUGGUUUUUUUGAAUUGUUAACCUCGUAUAAAUUAUUAUGGAACACAAGAUAUAUGAAUUCUAAAAUAGUACUUUUAUAUUUAUUUAGAUGUGAAAUCAUUCCCCCGCCCUUUUCACACCCACAAACCCGCUGUCCCAAAAGAGAAAAAGAAAAGCUUGCAGAUUCUAGAAUUAGCCAAUUGGCCUAGAAUCUAGACAGGAGAAACUGUGUUGGGCCAGAAAAACACCGUGCGCUGCUUCCUAUCCGUAUGGUUGUGCGUCGGCCUGCAUCACGUCGCGAUCGUUCCCAGCGCGUGCGCGUAGGAAGAGUCAUUGCCCAUACAGGCAUAGGCACACCGUGUAUGCACCCUCUAGGGAGGCAACGCAGCCGGUGGUAGCCAUGCCUCUCCCCACGACCUGCGCAAUUGGCAGCGACGAUGCCUGAGGCGCCUGCGCAUGCAGCCUGGCGGCAGUUAGGGAAGCCCAUGCGGCUAAUGGGCAAGGGCGCCCGCACGCACGCUUUGCACCACCUAGCGCGGCAGUCAACCUAGGCCAGUUCAUGCACGCCUGCAGCUGCACCAGCCUCUACACUCUCGCAUCUACAGCGACUGUGGCCAAUCGAGCUAGAGCUGCACGUUGGUGGCGGGCAGCACGGAUCUGCACCUCAGGCAACAAUGGCGGUCACCAUGCCAGCAGCAGCAACAGGGCCCGAGGCUCCUGCACGCAUGCGCCUCCGAGACAAGGGCGGGCAGAGGCUAGUCGUGUUAUAAAACAUAUUGCCAGUAGUUGAACCUUUCCCUCUCCGUCUCUUAUGAUCAAUAUAGUAGAUGAAAAUAGAAGAACAAAUAGACACAACAUAGGGAGGCUAUUCUUUAUUUCUCUGAAUAUUAGUGAUUACAACAUAGAGCUCCCACGUAUAUAUAGUCCUGCCAAGGCCUAAGAGUUUUGGUAAGAGCGCACAUACAAACGGACUAAGAUUAUGAUUUCUCCUCCUUUCCUUCUAGGUAUAUUUUACAACACUCCCCCUUGGGCAAUUACCACGAUAUGCACAUGCCUCAUUAAAAACUUCAUCCAAAAACCCAAUGGGAAAAAACAAUUCUUAGAGAAAAGAGUACAUCGCAUUCGUUAAUUGUAUUGCCCAUGUUGUCUCAUAUAAAACCUUAUGUGA
This is a long non-coding RNA of Sorghum bicolor (sorghum), 1664 nucleotides long. RefSeq lists it as uncharacterized. The transcript is spliced from 4 exons. The record is from RefSeq and is a predicted model, not a curated record. Lineage: Eukaryota; Viridiplantae; Streptophyta; Magnoliopsida; Poales; Poaceae.